RNAcentral lists this long non-coding RNA (240 nucleotides) under Lathyrus oleraceus (garden pea). RNAcentral's name for it is "Pisum sativum (pea) long non-coding RNA (PSAT_LNC041574)". Lineage: Eukaryota; Viridiplantae; Streptophyta; Magnoliopsida; Fabales; Fabaceae. The record is from RNAcentral.
AAGUCAACACUGCAAUAAAGCUCAGAUGGAAGAAAACAGUCCAAUUACCAUCUCCAGAAGCAAAGUAAUGAGGACUAGAGGACAUAGGGGAAAGUAGCAAAGUUGUAUUUUGUUGGAAAAUCAGUUAAAAUUUUGUUUCCAUUUACUUGCUUUCUUUCUCUGUAAUCUCCUCUUAGAGGGGUUUACAUCUUCAUGAAUACCAUGUAUGAGUUAUUCUUCUCAUCAAAUAAAAUUGUUCAG